AACGAACGCUGGCGGCAUGCCUAACACAUGCAAGUCGAACGAGACCUUCGGGUCUAGUGGCGCACGGGUGCGUAACGCGUGGGAAUCUGCCCUUGGGUUCGGAAUAACAGUUAGAAAUGACUGCUAAUACCGGAUGAUGUCUUCGGACCAAAGAUUUAUCGCCCAAGGAUGAGCCCGCGUCGGAUUAGCUAGUUGGUGAGGUAAAGGCUCACCAAGGCGACGAUCCGUAGCUGGUCUGAGAGGAUGAUCAGCCACACUGGGACUGAGACACGGCCCAGACUCCUACGGGAGGCAGCAGUGGGGAAUAUUGGACAAGGGGCGAAAGCCUGAUCCAGCAAUGCCGCGUGAGUGAUGAAGGCCUUAGGGUUGUAAAGCUCUUUUACCCGGGAUGAUAAUGACGGUACCGGGAGAAUAAGCCCCGGCUAACUCCGUGCCAGCAGCCGCCGUAA
RNAcentral lists this ribosomal RNA (449 nucleotides) under uncultured bacterium. RNAcentral's name for it is "partial 16S ribosomal RNA". It matches the Rfam family "Bacterial small subunit ribosomal RNA", at positions 29 to 523 of the family's 1533-position model. The record is from RNAcentral.